CGUCACCGUCACCGUCACCAUGGCAGGCCUUUCUGGUGCAUCUGAUAUGCGGAUUAGGGCUUGCGUCAGCACUAUGGAUAGCCCACAAAGUCUACUCCACCAAUCUCAUUUCAGAUCCUUCUCAAACCCUCCGUCUGAUCUGGAUUAUUGAGGCUCCGAUUGUGAUUCUGCUUUUCAGUAUUUUCCGGAAAAAUCCAAAGGAAUGCUCGUAUUGGAAAGCUGUAGGACGAGGAUUAUUGGGGCUUCCUGCUGGUUAGUCUUUUAAAUUUUGGCUGUAAUUUGCUAUAUGUAUAUGUAUAAGAGUAUAUGUAAUGUGUAUUGACAUAUACCUGUGAAUGCAAAUAUGUUUAUACAUUUAGGGAAAGGUUAUGCUACACAAAAAGUUACUAUUUUUGUGGUGUUAAUUAGGAAUUGUAGUGAUUAAGUGGUGUUAAUUACGAAUCAUUAUAAAAAGUGUUGGUGAGAAAAGUUAUGAGCCAUUGUGGUUUUGUUAUGAAUCAUUGUAGUGUAAUUACAAAGCGGCAUAUGCUAUGCAACCUUUAAGGGGUUACCCAUAGCCUUUCUCAUGUAUUUGUUGUUUGUUAUAAAAAAAAAUAUAUAUAUA
This is a non-coding RNA of Camellia sinensis, 604 nucleotides long. Lineage: Eukaryota; Viridiplantae; Streptophyta; Magnoliopsida; Ericales; Theaceae. The record is from RefSeq and is a predicted model, not a curated record.